RNAcentral lists this ribosomal RNA (421 nucleotides) under uncultured bacterium. Its description in RNAcentral is "bacterial SSU rRNA". It matches the Rfam family "Bacterial small subunit ribosomal RNA", at positions 29 to 431 of the family's 1533-position model. The record is from RNAcentral.
AACGAACGCUGGCGGCGUGGAUAAGACAUGCAAGUCGAACGGGAUUACUUUUGGUAGCAAUAUCGAAAGUAAUUCAGUGGCGAACGGGUGCGUAACACGUGGGCAAUCUGCCGAAAAGUGGGGGGAUAGCUCGCCGAAAGGCGAAUUAAUACCGCAUGUGGUGAGGGACGACAUCUUCCUGAAUCCAAAGCCGGGGGCAACCUGGCGCUUUUUUGAGGAGCCCGCGGCCUAUCAGCUAGNGGUGAGGUAACGGCCCACCAAGGCUAUGACGGGUAGCUGGUCUGAGAGGACGACCAGUCACACUGGAACUGAGACACGGUCCAGACACCUACGGGUGGCAGCAGUCGAGAAUUUUUCUCAAUGGGGGAAACCCUGAAGGAGCGACGCCGCGUGGAGGAUGAAGGCUUUCGGGUUGUAAACU